AUUGAACGCUGGCGGCAUGCUUUACACAUGCAAGUCGAACGGCAGCGGGGAGGAGCUUGCUUCUCUGCGGGCGAGUGGCGAACGGGUGAGUAAUACAUCGGAACGUGUCGAGAAGAGGGGGAUAACCACCCGAAAGGGUGGCUAAUACCGCAUAAAUUCUGAGGCAGAAAGCUGGGGACCUAGGAAUAGGCCUAGCGCUUUUUGAGCGGCCGAUGUCGGAUUAGCUAGUUGGUGAGGUAAAGGCUCACCAAGGCGAAGAUCUGUAGCCGGUCUGAGAGGAUGAUCGGCCACACUGGGACUGAGCCACGGCCCAGACUCCUACGAGAGGCAGCAGUGGGGAAUUUUGGACAAUGGGGGCAACCCUGAUCCAGCCAUGCCGCGUGUAUGAAGAAGGCCUUAGGUUUGUAAAGUACUUUUGUUAGGGAAGAACAGUCAGCUGUGAAUAAUGGCUGAUACUGACGGUACCUAAAGAAUAAGCACCGGCUAACUACGUG
RNAcentral lists this ribosomal RNA (494 nucleotides) under uncultured bacterium. RNAcentral describes it as "partial 16S ribosomal RNA". It matches the Rfam family "Bacterial small subunit ribosomal RNA", at positions 30 to 507 of the family's 1533-position model. The record is from RNAcentral.